CUACGGAACUCCUACGGGAGGCAGCAGUGGGGAAUUUUGGACAAUGGGGGCAACCCUGAUCCAGCCAUGCCGCGUGAGUGAUGAAGGCCCUAGGGUUGUAAAGCUCUUUCACCGGUGAAGAUAAUGACGGUAACCGGAGAAGAAGCCCCGGCUAACUUCGUGCCAGCAGCCGCGGUAAUACGAAGGGGGCUAGCGUUGUUCGGAAUUACUGGGCGUAAAGCGCACGUAGGCGGACAUUUAAGUCAGGGGUGAAAUCCCAGAGCUCAACUCUGGAACUGCCUUUGAUACUGGGUGUCUAGAGUAUGGAAGAGGUGAGUGGAAUUCCGAGUGUAGAGGUGAAAUUCGUAGAUAUUCGGAGGAACACCAGUGGCGAAGGCGGCUCACUGGUCCAUUACUGACGCUGAGGUGCGAAAGCGUGGGGAGCAAACAGGAUUAGAUACCCCUGUAGUCCUCUUCGA
Molecule: ribosomal RNA, 458 nt
Filed under: uncultured bacterium
Lineage: Bacteria
Description: bacterial SSU rRNA
Rfam family: Bacterial small subunit ribosomal RNA
Source: RNAcentral